RNAcentral lists this transfer RNA (64 nucleotides) under Podarcis lilfordi (Lilford's wall lizard). RNAcentral's name for it is "tRNA.Thr". The record is from RNAcentral. Lineage: Eukaryota; Metazoa; Chordata; Lepidosauria; Squamata; Lacertidae.
GUGGCGUAGUGGUUAAGAGCGAUAGACUCGUAAUCUGGUGAACCGGGUUCGAUUCCCUGCUCCU